Molecule: non-coding RNA, 148 nt
Filed under: Homo sapiens (human)
Lineage: Eukaryota; Metazoa; Chordata; Mammalia; Primates; Hominidae
Source: Rfam by way of RNAcentral
GCUGGGCAUGGUGGCACAUGCCUGUAAUCCCAACUACUCAGGAGGCUGAGGCAGGAGAAUCGCUUGAACCCAGGAGCUGGAGGCUGGAGUGAGCUGAGAUCGCGCCACUGCACUCCAGCCUGGGUGACAGAGUGAGACUCUGUCUCAA